CCUACGGGAGGCAGCAGUGAGGAAUAUUGGUCAAUGGGCGUAAGCCUGAACCAGCCAAGCCGCGUGAGGGAUGAAGGUUCUAUGGAUCGUAAACCUCUUUUAUAAGGGAAUAAAGUGUGGGACGUGUCCUGUUUUGUAUGUACCUUAUGAAUAAGGAUCGGCUAACUCCGUGCCAGCAGCCGCGGUAAUACGGAGGAUCCGAGCGUUAUCCGGAUUUAUUGGGUUUAAAGGGUGCGUAGGCGGCCUUUUAAGUCAGCGGUGAAAGUCUGUGGCUCAACCAUAGAAUUGCCGUGGAAACUGGGAGGCUUGAGUAUGGUAGAGGCGGGCGGAAUGCGUGGUGUAGCGGUGAAAUGCUUAGAUAUCACGCAGAACCCCGAUUGCGAAGGCAGCCUGCCAGGCCAUGACUGACGCUGAUGCACGAAAGCGUGGGGAUCAAACAGGAUUAGAUACCCCUGUAGUC
This 460-nucleotide ribosomal RNA is filed under the name uncultured bacterium. RNAcentral describes it as "partial 16S ribosomal RNA". It matches the Rfam family "Bacterial small subunit ribosomal RNA", at positions 338 to 795 of the family's 1533-position model. The record is from RNAcentral.